GGUUGGAGGGCAAGUCUGGUGCCAGCAGCCGCGGUAAUUCCAGCUCCAAUAGCGUAUAUUAAAGUUGUUGCAGUUAAAAAGCUCGUAGUUGAAUUUCGGGAUCAAUGUUUCGGUCAUGCCGUUGGUAUGUACUGAUAUUAUUGAUUUCUCACCUUCUAAAGAACCGUAAUGCCAUUAAUUUGGUGUCACGGGAAUUAGACGUU
Molecule: ribosomal RNA, 203 nt
Filed under: uncultured fungus
Lineage: Eukaryota; Fungi
Description: partial small subunit ribosomal RNA
Rfam family: Eukaryotic small subunit ribosomal RNA
Source: RNAcentral